Molecule: long non-coding RNA, 295 nt
Filed under: Malus domestica (apple)
Lineage: Eukaryota; Viridiplantae; Streptophyta; Magnoliopsida; Rosales; Rosaceae
Description: long non-coding RNA (MDOM_LNC015883)
Source: RNAcentral
UUACAAAAAUCGUUGGAUUCUUUUUGCCUUUUUCUCCCCCAAAAAAAAAGUUUGGUUCGUUCUUUGCAAUGGGUAUGAUUUGCUUCAAACUAAAAAAAUUCAAUUACUCAACAACUUGCAUAAGCUCAAAAUUGGGCAUGUGGGAGGAUAGAACUCAUGAGCUUGUUCACUUUGUGAACCUUCUCGUUGCAAGCCCAGCAUACGGUGGGAGGACAGAAAUCAUAAACUCAAAACUGGACUCUCGUAGCGAUUUGACGAGGGGGAAGGCUAAUUGGAUGCUCAUGGUGGUGAUUUG